UAGUUCUUGCACCAUUGCUUAACCAUGCUUGCUGCUUAUAUGUAUACUACCAUACAGUUUAGUUUAUAAAGUCUGCCAAAAUUGUGGUCUGCGUUGAUACGCACU
Molecule: long non-coding RNA, 105 nt
Organism: Xenia sp. Carnegie-2017
Lineage: Eukaryota; Metazoa; Cnidaria; Anthozoa; Malacalcyonacea; Xeniidae
Exons: 3
Source: RefSeq, a predicted model, not a curated record